RNAcentral lists this ribosomal RNA (539 nucleotides) under uncultured bacterium. Its description in RNAcentral is "bacterial SSU rRNA". It matches the Rfam family "Bacterial small subunit ribosomal RNA", at positions 8 to 526 of the family's 1533-position model. The record is from RNAcentral.
AGAGUUUGAUCCUGGCUCAGAAUCAACGCUGGCGGCGUGCCUAACACAUGCAAGUCGAACGCGAAAGCCCCGCAAGGGGUAAGUAGAGUGGCAAACGGGUGAGUAACACGUGGGUGACCUGCCUCAGAGUGGGGGAUAACGACCCGAAAGGGUCGCUAAUACCGCAUAACAUCCUGCUUUUGGAUAAGUGGAGAUCAAAGCCGGGGAUCGCAAGACCUGGCGCUCAGAGAGGGGCCCGCGGCCGAUUAGCUAGUUGGUGAGGUAACGGCUCACCAAGGCGACGAUCGGUAUCCGGCCUGAGAGGGCGGACGGACACACUGGGACUGAGACACGGCCCAGACUCCUACGGGAGGCAGCAGUGGGGAAUUGUUCGCAAUGGGCGCAAGCCUGACGACGCAACGCCGCGUGGAGGACGAAGAUCUUCGGGUCGUAAACUCCUUUCGAUCGGGAAGAACGCCUUCCGGGUGAACAAUCCGGGAGGGUGACGGUACCGAGAGAAGAAGCCCCGGCUAACUCUGUGCCAGCAGCCGCGGUAAUAC